AUGUGAAAGAUGAGUUGAGAGAGAGAGAGAGAGAGAGAGAAGUAUGUAAGGUAUAAGAUGUGUGUGAGUGUAAGUGAUAUGAGGGGGUUAUAAAUAGUGAUCUCUCAGUUUUGACCCUAUUACCUAUUUUUGGUACCAACAUUCAUUCCCUUAUUAAUGCCACUCUCUCUCUCUCUCUCUCUCUCUCUCUCUCUCUUCAUAU
Molecule: microRNA precursor, 202 nt
Filed under: Olea europaea subsp. europaea
Lineage: Eukaryota; Viridiplantae; Streptophyta; Magnoliopsida; Lamiales; Oleaceae
Source: RNAcentral